AGGACAUGAAGAAGAAGGAACAGGGUACACAGUCACCAGAUAUCCAGCACCUAGAGCCUCCUCUAGAUGGAGAGAUCUACUUCUGCUGAGGAGACCCCUCUUCAUCUCCUGUCAAUGCAACGUCCCUCUCACCAGCUGAAUGGAAGGCCAAGUUGCCAAAGUGCCCUCAUCGUCAAACCCUCUAAGUCAUCACAAACACUCCCAACUGACACACAAUAGGAAGUGGAAAGUCUCUCAUCAUGUGAGUCAUAAGCUCCAGCUGCAAUGUUCUGUCUCAGUGCUCACUACAGAUUGGCUCCUGACUGUCACCUGCUAAAAAUAUAUAACAAUAAGGACACUGCUUCUAUGUUAGAUACUGUAGGUUAAAGAUUGUCUAUAACAAUAAGGAAACUGCUUCUAUGUUAGAUACUGUAGGUUAAAGAUUGUCUAUAACAGUAAGGACACUGCUUCUAUGUUAGAUACUGUAGGUUAAAGAUUGUCUAUAACAAUAAGGACACUGCUUCUAUGUUAGAUACUGUAGGUUAAAGAUUGUCUAUAACAAUAAGGACACUGCUUCUAUGUUAGAUACUGUAGGUUAAAGAUUGUCUAUAACAGUAAGGACACUGCUUCUAUGUUAGAUACUGUAGGUUAAAGAUUGUCUAUAACAAUAAGGACACUGCUUCUAUGUUAGAUACUGUAGGUUAAAGAUUGUCUAUAACAAUAAGGAAACUGUUUCUAUGUUAGAUACUGUAGGUUAAAGAUUGUCUAUAACAGUAAGGACACUGCUUCUAUGUUAGAUACUGUAGGUUAAAGAUUGUGUACAACAGUAAGGACACUGCUUCUAUGUUAGAUACUGUAGGUUAAAGAUUGUCUAUAACAAUAAGGACACUGCUUCUAUGUUAGAUACUGUAGGUUAAAGAUUGUCUAUAACAAUAAGGACACUGCUUCUAUGUUAGAUACUGUAGGUUAAAGAUUGUCUACAACAGUAAGGACACUGCUUCUAUGCUAGAUACUGUAGGUUAAAGAAUGUCUACAACAAUAAGGAAACUGCUUCUAUGUUAGAUACUGUAGGUUAAAGAUUGUCUACAACAAUAAGGAAACUGCUCCUAUGCUAGAUACUGUAGGUUAAAGAUUGUCUAUAACAAUAAGGACACUGCUUCUAUGUUAGAUACUGUAGGUUAAAGAUUGUCUACAACAAUAAGGAAACUGCUUCUAUGUUAGAUACUGUAGGUUAAAGAUUGUCUAUAACAAUAAGAACACUGCUUCUAUGUUAGAUACUGUAGGUUAAAGAUUGUCUAUAACAGUAAGGAAACUGCUUCUAUGUUAGAUACUGUAGGUUAAAGAUUGUCUAUAACAAUAAGGACACUGCUUCUAUGUUAGAUACUGUAGGUUAAAGAUUGUCUACAACAAUAAGGACACUGCUUCUGUGUUAGAUACUGUAGGUUAAAGAUUGUCUAUAACAAUAAGGAAACUGCUUCUAUGUUAGAUACUGUAGGUUAAAGAUUGUCUACAACAGUAAGGACACUGCUUCUAUGUUAGAUACUGUAGGUUAAAGAUUGUCUACAACAAUAAGGAAACUGUUUCUAUGUUAGAUACUGUAGGUUAAAGAUUGUCUAUAACAGUAAGGACACUGCUUCUAUGUUAGAUACUGUAGGUUAAAGAUUGUCUAUAACAAUAAGGACACUGCUUCUAUGUUAGAUACUGUAGGUUAAAGAUUGUCUAUAACAAUAAGGAAACUGCUUCUAUGCUAGAUACUGUAGGUUAAAGAUUGUCUAUAACAAUAAGGACACUGCUUCUAUGUUAGAUACUGUAGGUUAAAGAUUAUCUACAACAAUAAGGAAACUGUUUCUAUGUUAGAUACUGUAGGUUAAAGAUUAUCUACAACAAUAAGGAAACUGCUUCUAUGUUAGAUACUGUAGGUUAAAGAUUGUCUAUAACAAUAAGGAAACUGCUUCUAUGUUAGAUACUGUAGGUUAAAUAUUGUCUAUAACAGUAAGGAAACUGUUUCUAUGUUAGAUACUGUAGGUUAAAGAUUAUCUACAACAAUAAGGAAACUGCUUCUAUGCUAGAUACUGUAGGUUAAAGAUUGUCUACAACAAUAAGGAAACUGCUUCUAUGCUAGAUACUGUAGGUUAAAGAUUGUCUAUAACAGUAAGGAAACUGUUUCUAUGUUAGAUACUGUAGGUUAAAGAUUAUCUACAACAAUAAGGAAACUGCUUCUAUGCUAGAUACUGUAGGUUAAAGAUUGUCUAUAACAUUAAGGAAACUGUUUCUAUGUUAGAUACUGUAGGUUAAAGAUUGUCUACAACAAUAAGGAAACUGUUUCUAUGUUAGAUACUGUGCUCCUGAUGUGUUUGACAUGUUGCAAUAAUCUCAAUACAUUUUACAUUUGAUGCUAUUGAUCACAUGAAUCAUCUUUUCUGGUGCAUGUCCAAGAUCGAUAAUCAAUAUGUUGUUUAUACAGAUCAGUCUACACAAUAUUGAUACUAUAUAGUCCCAUAAGAACUGGAGAAAACUCAAAGACUGAUGUCAGUUGAUCGUUGUUGUGGUUCAAUGUUUAAGAGCCACUUGUUACUAAUACCUGAAGAACCAGAGAACACAUAUGGAACCAUGUUGUAACCAAAAAUACGUUAAACAAAUCAAAAUAUAUUUUAUAUUUCAGAUUCUUAAAAGUAGCCGCCCAUUGCCUUGAUGACAGCUUUGCACAUUCUUGGCCUUGUCUCAACCAGCUUCAUGAGGUAGUCACCUGGGUGUUUUUUUAAUCGAGGCACACCUAUUAAUUAAAGUACAUUGUGGAUUGUCUUUCCUUCUUAGGGCUAUAUUCAGUAUACCAUUCCUAUUUGGUAAAUGACCAAGUCCACAUUAUGGAAAGAGAAACGACAGCCCAUCAUUACUUUAAGACACGAAGGUCAGUCCGUAUGGAAAAUGACAAGAACUUUGAAAGUGCAGUCGCAAAAACCAUCAAGUGCUCUGAUGAAACUGCCUCAUGAGGACCGCUACAAGAAAGGAAGACCCAGAGUUUCCUCUGCUACAGAGGAUAAGUACAUUAGAGUUCGCUGUAUCUCAGAUUGCAGCCCAAAUAAAUGCUUCACAGAGUUCAAGUAAGAGACACAUCUCAACAUCAACUGUUCAGAGGAGACUGUUUGAAUCAGGCCUUUGUGGUCGAAUUGAUGCAAAGAAACCAUUACUAAAGGACACCAAUAGGAAGAAGAGACUUGCUGGGCCAAGAAACACGAUCAAUGGACAUUAGACCGGUGGAAAUCUGUCCUUUGGUCUGAUGAGUCCAAAUUUGAAAUGUUUGGUUCCAACCACCAUGUCUUUGUGAGAUGCAGAGUAGGUGAACGGAUGAUCUCCACAUGUGUGGUUCCCACCUUGAAGCAUGGAGGAGGAUGUGUGAUGGUGCUUUGUUGGUGACACUGUCUGUGAUUUUAUUUAGAAUUCAAGGCACACUUAACCAGCAUGGCUACCACAGCAUUCUGCAGCGAUACGCCAUCCCAUCUGGUUUGCGCUUAGUGGGACUAUCAUUUGUCUAUCAACAGGACAAUGACCCAAAACACACCUCCAGGCUGUGUAAGGGAUAUUUGACCAAGAAGGAGAGUGAUGGAGUGCUACAUUAGAUGACCUGGCAUCCACAAUCACCUGACCUCAACCCAAUUGAGAUGGUUUGGGAUGAGUUGGGCCACAGAGUGAUGGAAAAGCAGCCAACAAGUGCUCAGCAUAUGUGGAAACUCCUUCAAGACUGUUGGAAAAGCAUUCCAGGUGAAGCUGGUUGAGAGAAUGCCAAGAGUAUGCAAAGCAGUCAUCAAGGCAAAGGGUGGCUACUUUGAAGAAUCUCAAAUCUCAAAUAUAUUUGUUCUUUGUUUAAAACUUCUUAGGGCUGAGAUCCCGUUAACGGGGUCGAUAUGACAACAGCCAGUGAAAGUGCAGGGCACCAAAUUCAAAACAACAGAAAUCUCAUAAUUAAAAUUCCUCAAACGUACAAGUAUCUAAUACCAUUUUAACUUCUUGCGUCGAGCAAUCCCGGAUCCGGGAUUCUAUUUAUAGCCUCAAGCUCAUUAGCAUAACGCAACAUUAACUAUUCAUGAAAAUCGCAAAUGAAAUGAAAUAAAUAUAUUUGCUCUCAAGCUUAGACUUUUGUUAACAACACUGUCAUCUCAGAUUUUCAAAAUAUGCUUUUCAACCAUAGCUAAACAAGCAUUUGUGUAAGAGUGUUGAUAGCUAGCAUAGCUAUAAGCCUAGAAUUCAGCCAGCAACAUUUUCACAAAAACAAGAAAAUCAUUCAAAUAAAAUCAUUUACCUUUGAAGAACUUCAGAUGUUUUCAAUGAGGAGACUCUCAGUUAGAUAGCAAAUGUUCAGUUUUUCAAAAAUAUUAUUUGUGUAGGACAAAUCACUCCGUUUUGUUCACGUUUGGCUAUGAAAAAAACCUGUAUCCAGUUAUAGCCUCAAGCUCAUUAGCAUAACGUAACGUUAACUAUUUAUGAAAAUCGCAAAUGAAAUGAAAUGAAUGUGCUAGCUCUCAAGCUUAACCUUUUCUUAACAACAUUGUCAUCUCAGAUUUUCAAAAUAUGCUUUUGAACCAUAGCAAAACAAGCAUUUGUGAUAGCUAGCGUAGCAUUUAGCGUUGCAUUUAGCGGGCAACAUUUGCACAAAAACCAGAAAAGGAUUCAAAUAAAAUAAUUUACCUUUGAGGAACUUCGGAUGUUUUCAAUGAGGAGACUCUCAGUUACAUAGCAAAUGUUCAGUUUUACCUGAAAGAUUCUUUGUGUAGGAGAAAUCGCUCCGUUUUGUACAUCACGUUUGGGUACCAAAAAAACCCGAAAAAUUCAGUCAUCAAAACGGCGAACUGUUUUCCAAAUUAACUCCAUAAUAUCGACUUAAACAUGGCAAACGCUGUUUAGAAUCAAUCCUCAAUGUGUUUUUCACAUAUCUCUUCAUUGAUAUAUCAUUCGUGGUAGUCUCCUUUCUCCGGUGAAUCGCUUGGAAAAAGACGUGCAGUUGAAGAUGACGCACCAAUUUCGACGGAGGACACCGGGCGGACACCUGGCAAAUGUAGUCUCUUAUGGUCAAUCUUCCAAUGAUAUGCCUACAAAUACGUCACAAUGCUGCAGACACCUUGGGGAGACGAUAGAUAGGGCAGGCUCAUUCCUGUCGCAUUCACAGCCAUAUAAGGAGACAAUGAAAAACAGAGCCUCAAAAAUCCUGCUCAUUUCCUGGUUGCAGUUUCAUCUUGGUUUUGCCUGUAGCUUCUGUUCUGGGGCACUCACAGACAAUAUCUUUGCAGUUCUGGAAACGUCAGUGUGUUUUCUUUCCAAAGCUAUCAAUUAUAUGCAUAGUCGAGCAUCUUUUUGUGACAAAAUAUUGCGCUUAAAACGGGCAUGUCUUUUUAUCCAAAAAUGAAAUAGCGCCCCCAUAGAUUUAACAGGUUAAAGGUAAUCGUGUUGUUAAUCCCACCACAGUGUCCAAUUUCAAAUAGGCUUUACAGCGAAAGCUCCACAAAUGAUUAUGUUAGGUCAGAGCCAAGCAUCAGAAAAACAGCCAUUUUUCCAGGCAAAGAGUGGAGUCACAAAUCUGAAAUGGAGAUAGAAUUAAUCACUAACCUUUGAUGAUCUUCAUCAGAUGACACUCAUAGGGCUUCAUGUUAGACAAUACAUUUAUGUUUUGUUCGAUAAAGUUCAUAUUUAUAUAAAAAUAUCUCAGUAUACAUUGGCGUGUUAUGUUCAGUAGUUCCAAAAACAUCCGGUGAUAUUGCAGAGAACAUCAAUUUACGGAAAUACUAAUUUUAAAUGUUAAUGAAAAUACAAGCGCUUUACAGCGAAAGCACCAUAAACUAUUAUGUUAGGAGAAUCUAUUAUGUUGAAGAAUCUAAAAUAUUAAAUAUAUUUUGAUUUGUUUAACACUUUUUUGGUUACUACAUGAUACCAUAUGUGUUAUUUCCUAGUUGUUAUGUCUUCACUAUUAUUCUACAAUGUAGAAAAUAGUAAAAACUAAAAACCCUUGAAUGAGUAGGUGUGUCCAAACUUUUGACUGGUAAUGGUAUAUAAAUCCCCAACGUAACAACAGGUCCAAUCAUGACGUCCGUCAGAAUGGGGAAUGCAAACAAUUGUGCUAAUGAAUGCUAAAAUUAAUCAUUUUCACCUGACAGUAUAUUUGACUUGUUAACCUUUCUUAGGGCUGCUCUGCCUGUCUGUCUGUCGAUUUUAUUUCAUAUGUGGGUUCAUUGUCCCCACGAUGAGUAUGGAGUAUGAAAUAAUACAACAUAAUGAGUAGUCGGGAGUUAGUUCCUUAUUAAAUGAAAUAAAUAAUUUAAUAGAAACACAAUGUGGACCCCUCAAUGGGCUCUGGUUAAAACUAGUGCACUAUGUAGGGAAUAGGGUGCCAUAGGGCUCUGGUCUAAAGUAGUGCACUAUGUAGGGAAUAGGGUGCCAUAGGGCUCUGGUCUAAAGUAGUGCACUAUGUAGGGAAUAGGGUGCCAUAGGGCUCUGGUCUAAAGUAGUGCACUAUGUAGGGAAUAGGGUGCCAAAGGGCUCUGGUCUAAAGUAGUGCACUAUGUAGGGAAUAGGGCUCUGGUCUAAAGUAGUGCACUAUGUAGGGAAUAGGGUGCCAUAGGGCUCUGGUCUAAAGUAGUGCACUAUAUAGGGAAUAGGGUACCAUUUGGGACCCUUGUUUAGCCUUCAAUAUAAAGAUGAAGUGUACAAAAUACAACCCAACAUCUUGUCAGGAUGAUCCACAGGUGGUUUUCGACCUCUGUCUUCGGGUUGAAAAGUUCCUGUAACUUUAAUACACUGAUCAGGGUUUACUGUUGAAUAUUCCCAGAAUAUUGAGGGAAGCAGGAAUCAGCGAUCCUCAGAUCUCUGGAAAACCAGGGAAUCAGCAAUCCUCAGAUCUCUGGAACACCAGGGAAUCAGCAAUCCUAGGAUUUAUGGAAAACCAGGGAAUCCGCAAUCCUCAGAUCUCUGGAACACCAGGGAAUCAGCAAUCCUCAGAUCUCUGGAAAACCAGGGAAUCAUCAAUCCUCAGAUUUCUGGAAAACCAGGGAAUCAGCGAUCCUAGGAUUUCUGGAAAACCAGAGAAUCAGCAAUCCUCAGAUUUCUGGAAAACCAGGGAAUCAGCGAUCCUCAGAUUUCUGGAAAACCAGGGAAUCAGCAAUCCUCAGAUUUCUGGAAAACCAGGGAAUCAGCGAUCCUCAGAUUUCUGGAAAACCAGGGAAUCAGCGAUCCUCAGAUUUCUGGAAAAACAGGGAAUUAUUUUGAAAGUUACUGGAAUUCUGCAACCCUGCUCUGUUUGGAAAGGAAAGACGUGUCUUUAAUUAAGGUAGAGAAAUGUUCUCUUUCUGAAACUAUGAAUAAACAAAUAUGUAAAAUAAAAAGACUGAUGUAAAAGUCUGAAUAAUUUGUUUUAGUGUUGAUCUGUGAUUUAUGUCAGUGUUUUAUGACGAUACGUUAUCUCUGAUUCCCAGCUGUUUGGUGGAAUGUCACGAAAAGUCAUAUUUCCCUCAUAAUAAAGAACUCUUAUGGAAGUUAAUCUGAUUAAAA
Long non-coding RNA from Oncorhynchus masou masou (cherry salmon), 7512 nucleotides. RefSeq lists it as uncharacterized. The transcript has 2 exons. The record is from RefSeq and is a predicted model, not a curated record. NCBI's taxonomy places the organism in Eukaryota, Metazoa, Chordata, Actinopteri, Salmoniformes, Salmonidae.